UUGACCUCAAAUCAAGCAAGAUUACCCGCUGAACUUAAGCAUAUCAAUAAGCGGAGGAAAAGAAACUAACAAGGAUUCCCCUAGUAACUGCGAGUGAAGCGGGAAAAGCUCAAAUUUAAAAUCUGGCAGUGGCUCACUGCCCGAGUUGUAUUCUAGAGAAGUGUUGCUCACACUGGACCAUGUAUAAGUCUUCUGGAAUGAAGCGUCAUAGAGGGUGAGAAUCCCGUCUUUGACAUGGACUCCCAGUGUAUUUGUAGUAUGCUCUCAAAGAGUCGAGUUGUUUGGGAAUGCAGCUCUAAAUGGGUGGUAACCUCCAUCUAAAGCUAAAUAUUGGCGAGAGACCGAUAGUGAACAAGUACCGUGAGGGAAAGAUGAAAAGAACUUUGGAAAGAGAGUUAAAAAGUACGUGAAAUUGUUGAAAGGGAAACGCUUGAAGUCAGUCACAUUGGCCAGGGAUCAACUUGCUUAAGUGUACUUCCUGGUUGAUGGGCCAACAUCAGCUUUGACUGUCAGAGAAGGGUAGGGGGAAUGUGGCACCCUCUUGGGUGUGUUAUAGCCCUCUGUCAUAUAUGGCCGUUGGGGCUGAGGAAUGCAGCGCGCCGCAAGGCCGGGUUUCGACCACGUUCGCGCUUAGGAUGUUGGCAUAAUGGCUUUAAUCGACCCGUCUUGAAACACGGACCAAGGAGUCUAACAUGCCUGCGAGUGUUUGGGUGGAAAACCCGAGUGCAUAAUGAAAGUGAAAGUUGAGAUCCCUGUCAUGGGGUGCAUCGACGCCCGGACCUGAGCUUUUUAGCAAUGGCUCUGCGGUAUAGC
RNAcentral lists this ribosomal RNA (813 nucleotides) under Amanita caesarea. RNAcentral's name for it is "eukaryotic LSU rRNA". It matches the Rfam family "Eukaryotic large subunit ribosomal RNA", at positions 1 to 801 of the family's 3401-position model. Lineage: Eukaryota; Fungi; Basidiomycota; Agaricomycetes; Agaricales; Amanitaceae. The record is from RNAcentral.